AUUGAACGCUGGCGGCAGGCCUAACACAUGCAAGUCGAACGAGUGGCGGACGGGUGAGUAAUGUAUGGGAAACUGCCUGAUGGAGGGGGAUAACUACUGGAAACGGUAGCUAAUCCCGCAUACCAUCGGAUCUGCCCAGAUGGGAUUAGCUAGUGGGUGGGGUACAGGCUCACCUAGGCGAUGAUCCCUAGCUGGUCUUAGAGGAUGACCAGCCACACUGGAACUGAGACACGGGCCAGACUCCUACGGGAGGCAGCAGUGGGGAAUAUUGGACAAUGGGCGCAAGCCUGAUACAGCCAUGCCGCGUGUAUGAAGAAGGCCUUCGGGUUGUAAAGUACUUUCAGCGGGGAGGCGUUACCUGCAGAAGAAGCACCGGCUAACUCCGUGCCAGCAGCCGCGGUAAUAC
RNAcentral lists this ribosomal RNA (406 nucleotides) under uncultured bacterium. RNAcentral describes it as "partial 16S ribosomal RNA". It matches the Rfam family "Bacterial small subunit ribosomal RNA", at positions 30 to 526 of the family's 1533-position model. The record is from RNAcentral.